UGCCACGCAUGCCUCCUGGAUCACCUCUUGGUGUCCCAUGGCCCCUGUGGGGCUCCUACCUGGCACAUCCUCACCUCCAGGCUCCCCCGGCUCCAACUCAGCAGGGAGGUGGGAGGUUGACGGGAGCAGGCAGGCAUGGGAGGGCUCAGCCGGGGUAUGAGGGGUGGGCAGAGUCCCCCCACCUGGCUCACCCUUUCUCUUCCUCUCCUCCUCUGGGCACCUUCUUUGACUCCCACAGGCUCCUAGCUCAGACCUCUCCACUCUUCCUGGCUUUCCUUCAGGGAGGUCAGGAAAGUCAGGGACCCGUGGAUAAAGACCAGGAGAACACAAUGUAAGUAUCUGGGCAAAGAACCUCUUAGGCAGAGGGCUUGGCGAGUGCAGAGCCCCAGGGACCUGUGCAGGGCCUGAUCAAGACCCUUGGAGGAGUCCAGGGGUGGCUAGAGUGCAGCAAGCAGGGGAGGGACUGGAGUAGCCAUAGAAGGGACCAGGACAGACUGAGCCCCAAACGUCCCCCUUGCCUGGCCCAGCCCAUGUGUUUCCGGUAUUGGUGGGUUCUUGGUCUCACUGACUUCAAGAAUGAAGCUGUGGACCCUGGCAAUGAGUGUUACAGCUCUUAAAGGCAGCGUGUCCGGAGUUUGUUCCUUCUGAUGUUCAGAUGUGUUCGGAGUUUUUUCCUUCUGGUGGGGUUCGUGGUCUCACUGGCUCAGGAGUGAAGCUGCGGACCUUCGCGGUGAGUGUCACAACUCUUAAGGUGGUGCGUCUGGAGUUGUUCGUUCCUCCCGGUGGGUUCGCGGUCUCACUGGCUUCAAGAGUGAAGCUGCAGACCUUCAACAAAUGAGUGUUACAGCUCGUAAACACGGUGUGGACCCAAAGACUAAAAGAACAAAGCUUCCACAAUGUGGUAAGGGUACCCCAGCGGGUUGCCGCUCCUGGCUCGGGCAGCCUUCUUUUAUUCUCUUAUCUGACCCCACCCACAUCCUGCUGAUUGGUAGAGCCGAGUGGUCUGUUUUCACAGGGUGCUGAUUGGUGUGUUUACAAUCCCUGAGCUAGACACAAAGGUUCUUCACGUCCCCGCCAGAUUAGCUAGAUACAUUGUCGAUUGGUGCAUUCACAAACCCUGAGCUAGACACAGGGUGCUGAUUGGUGUGUUUACGAACCUUGAGCUAGAUACAGAGUACCGAUUGGUGAAUUUACAAUCCCUUAGCUAGACAUAAAGGUUCUCCACGUCCCCACCAGACUCAGGAGCCCAGCUGGCUUCACCCAGUGAAUGUGGAGCUGCCUGCCAGUCCCGCACCGUGCACCCGCACUCCUCAGCCCUUGGGUGGUUGAUGGGACUAGGCGCCGUGGAGCGGGGGCGGCGCUCGUCAGGGAGGCUCGGGCUGCACAGGAGCCCACGGAGGAGCGGGGGAGGCUCAGGCAUGGCGGGCUGCAGGUUCCGAGCCCCGCCCCGCGGGAAUGCAGCUAAGGCCCGGCGAGAAAUUGAGCACAGCAGCUGCUGGCCCAGGUGCUAAGCCCCUCACUGCCUGUGGCCGGUGGGGCCGGCUGGCUGCUCCGAGUGCAGGGUCCGCCGAGCCCACGAACCCCACCAGAAGGAAGAAACUCUGAACACGUCCGAACAUCAGAAGGAACAAACUCCAGACACACCGCCUUUAAGAACUGUAACACCGCGAGGGUCCGCGGCUUCAUUCCUGAAGUCAGUGAGAUCAAGAACCCACCAAUUCCGGACACACAUGGGGAUGCUAGGCCAAAACCCGAGCAGAAAAGCGUAGGCGAGCAGCUGGCAGCCACCAUCGCAUUUGCUCCCGGAAGGCAAGAGGAGGCAGAGAAAAUUCCAGAACCCAUUUAAGCGUCUGGGACCCUGAGCCUGAGAAGCCAGCCGGGAUGACCAGACAUCUGAG
This 1898-nucleotide long non-coding RNA is filed under the name Homo sapiens (human). Its description in RNAcentral is "non-protein coding lnc-SH3BP2-1:2". The record is from RNAcentral. Lineage: Eukaryota; Metazoa; Chordata; Mammalia; Primates; Hominidae.